AUACGGAGGAUGCGAGCGUUAUCCGGAUUUAUUGGGUUUAAAGGGUGCGUAGGCGGUUUUUUAAGUCAGCGGUGAAACGCAAGGGCUCAACCCUUGACCUGCCGUUGAAACUGGAGGACUUGAAUGCGGAUGCUGUGGGAGGAAUGUGUGGUGUAGCGGUGAAAUGCAUAGAUAUCACACAGAACACCGAUUGCGAAGGCAUCUCACAAAUCCGUGAUUGACGCUGAGGCACGAAAGUGUGGGGAUCAAACAGGAUUAGAUACCCUGGUAGUCCACACUGUAAACGAUGAUGACUCGCUGUCGGCGAUAUACAGUCGGUGGCCAAGCGAAAGCGAUAAGUCAUCCACCUGGGGAGUACGCCGGCAACGGUGAAACUCAAAUGAAUUGGCGGGG
RNAcentral lists this ribosomal RNA (393 nucleotides) under uncultured bacterium. RNAcentral's name for it is "partial 16S ribosomal RNA". It matches the Rfam family "Bacterial small subunit ribosomal RNA", at positions 523 to 918 of the family's 1533-position model. The record is from RNAcentral.